AACACAAUUUGGAUGAAACAGG
This 22-nucleotide microRNA is filed under the name Gadus morhua (Atlantic cod). RNAcentral's name for it is "gmo-miR-11258-5p". Lineage: Eukaryota; Metazoa; Chordata; Actinopteri; Gadiformes; Gadidae. The record is from miRBase by way of RNAcentral.